Long non-coding RNA from Microplitis demolitor, 1588 nucleotides. RefSeq lists it as uncharacterized. The record is from RefSeq and is a predicted model, not a curated record. Lineage: Eukaryota; Metazoa; Arthropoda; Insecta; Hymenoptera; Braconidae. The transcript has 4 exons.
AGGAGUCUACGUAAAAAGUAAAACUUUGGAUGCAGCAAUACGUACUGCAAAGCAAGCAGCUCACAUAGCCCGACAGUUACUCGAAGGAGUCGUAAAACAUGAAAUAUUAGUCCGUUGCACCUUAAGUGGAAAACCAGCUCGAGGAAAAUUAGAUGAUACUGUACUGUCUUUGCAUGGUACUAUCCUGAUGCUCAAGGUUUAACUUAUGCAACAAAAGAUGGGCAGAAACAUGGGUUAAACAUCCAAUCAGACGAAACUAUAAUUAAAGAAGCUAUUCACCAUUAUGAUGUUCACUGCGCUUCAGACAAUCUGCGAGAUCCUAUAAAUAAACGAAAACACACUCUAGUCGGAGAAAUUCUUGAAAAAUUGAAUAAAAAAAGAAAUCUGGAAAACAAAUUUAACAAUCAGACAAUGUGGCCAAAUUAAAGAAAAAAAAAGAAGCUAAGAACAAUCCACGUAGAAUGGUUGUACCGCAAAGCUUUAUCUGAAAGCUACCAUCAAAUGAAGAAACCUUUGGGAGACAAAAAAGGGUUGAAAUUAUAUGAACCGAAUAUAUAUACUGCUGAAGAUAUUAAACAAUUAACGAUCCGAAAAUUCGCGACCCAUUUUCCUUCGUUUCAUCGAUUAGACGUUAACUUGAGAACAUUUGAUGGGGAUUGUAUUCUUUUAUUCAAAACUGAAGAUAAUGAUGAUAAUGAUUUUUGGUUUUAUGUAAAAAGCAGAAAAUAUCAAUUGAGUCGUUUAAAUCUAUACUUGCUAACAAUUGACAGAGACUAAUCCUCUGAACCCAUCACAUUCAAGGAGAUUCUUUUGAAGUAAUUAAUAAAAAUUCUAUACAAAUAUGUUAUGAAUACAUCAUUUUAUCGGAAUAUUCUGCUGAUAUUUCAAUAGCGUAUCUUUCGAAAGAAGCUUUGUAAAAUUCAGUAUUGGGAAAUGUCGGGCUUGAUGAAAUAGAUCCUAUUGAUCAUGAAUAUCGAAUUUUUACAAUUAUUGCUAAUGGGAAGAUUUAUUAGCAAUAUACACGAAUGAAAAUAUGACUAGAACAUUAACUUUUUCUUCAUCAGAAGUAAUUGAGGACGGUGAACAUUAUAUUAUUCAUGAUGUUACUAAAUUGAGUGGAAAAUGUGACGGAGUUUCUGGUUGUGACGUUGUUACUUGCUGCACAGAUGAGUGUUAACCAGUUUUUACCAGGUAUGAAGACGGUAAAAUAAAGAAGCAGGAAAAAUUUUUGUAUUGGCUAUCAAAUACACUAGAUGGUCAUAAAUAUACAUGUGAUUUUUCAUGCAAACAGAAUUCCAUAAAAAAAAGAACAGAAAAUGAAUCUACUAUUCCAGUCACUUCUUUUGCUAAAUGUAAUACGAAUAUUUUAAAACAAAAUUACUUGUGAGUCCCUCAAGUUGAAUGGUCUGAAUUGACUAUUACUGAAACAAUAUUGGGUGUAGGAGCUCAAGGCACUGUCAGGCAAGGCAACUGGUUGAGCACGGACGUUGCUAUAAAAAUAAUGCCUAUAUCAUAAUUAAAUUAUAAAAUCUUUUCGCGAGAAAUUUGUGUGUUACAAUCGGUACGACAAUAUAUCAAGGCGUAGUUA